RNAcentral lists this long non-coding RNA (376 nucleotides) under Solanum tuberosum (potato). RNAcentral's name for it is "long non-coding RNA (STUB_LNC001927)". The record is from RNAcentral. Lineage: Eukaryota; Viridiplantae; Streptophyta; Magnoliopsida; Solanales; Solanaceae.
UGUGUUUCUAUUGAAAUAUGGACUUUUAGUAUGCUAAGAUGGUGGAUUCUUCUUGUUAUGUUCAUUCUGAUUGUUUUGGGGGUAUCCAUGAAGCUUAUAAUAGUUCUUUACUGUGUGUCUUGUUCUUUUGCAGUAAUCGCAAAACAAUUGAGAUUUGUCCACAUAAUUUCCUGCAGAUGAGCGUCCUGUAUUACUGGUGGAUCCAUGAUUGAAAUUUCUGGACCCCGAAGAACUAACAUUAAGUGAAGCAGAGUCCAUAUUCAUCACAUUGUGUGGUUUGAACUCUCGUUGCUUUUCCUCUUGAAUCAGAAUUGAGAAAGCUUGAGCCAUGGAAGGUAAGGGAUUCAACAUAAGAAUACUCCCUCUUACAGUAGUG